RNAcentral lists this long non-coding RNA (3557 nucleotides) under Homo sapiens (human). RNAcentral's name for it is "HSALNT0085631". Lineage: Eukaryota; Metazoa; Chordata; Mammalia; Primates; Hominidae. The record is from RNAcentral.
GGGGUUUCACCGUAUUAGACAUGAUGGUCUCAAUCUCAUGACCUUGUGAUCCGCCUGCCUCAGCCUCCCAAAGUGCUGGGAUUACAGGCGUGAGCCGCCGCGCUUGGCCUAUACAUGUUAAGUUUUUAAGGAUAAUAUCUGUUCUGAUAAAUCUACAACAACAAAGGAUAAUGUUUAGCAUAUAGAUACCACUUAGUAAAUGUUUAUUAAGUGAUUUGCUAUAAUGUAAAUGAUGGCAGCAAUGAGCAGUGGCUGCUGCCAAGACACCAGCUGCAGUGGGGUAGGUGUGGCUGGGCUGCAUGCUCCAUGGAGCGGGCGGGAGCUGAUAUCAAGCGGUAGCCUCACCCUCCUGGGUACAGCUAUAGAGCCACGGCUGCGGACCCGGGCAUCUCUGUACCCUGCCCCACUUUCAGGCUCAGAGAUGUCUGCUCCCAUUGCCUGACUUCUUCCAGCUCCUGGCACCAAUCUUGAAGGGAGGUUGGUCCUGAAUCCAGGUGUUUUCACAGCCUGGCCGGGUGUACACAUGUUUGGGGUAGCGCUGACACGCAAGCUCCCCGCUAUGUCGCCCCCGCCGGACUUUGGGUGCUGAUGAGCAUGUGAGGGAAGCUGAGGGGAGGUGAAGGGCAGCUCAGUGCUGUACUGCAGGUGCCGCUUCACGUAAACAGCCUGGGCUCCAUGAACAGCGGCAAGAGACAGACAGGCUCCUAGGUGGAAGGGGACGUGUCCCUAAUAAAGCUCCACCUUCAAGCUGGGAGGACUUGAAUCCCAGGGCAGGCUGCGGGUCCUGCGGACUAGAAUGGGGACUUGUGGGGUUUUUUCAGGGCCCACCAUGGCCACCCAUGGACCAAUCGGCAUGCACUUCCUCCCCUCUGAGGUCCAUAAAAGCCCUGAACUGAGCCAUACUUGAGGACAUGACAGGAUGGCAAGCUGUGGAGAUGAACCACCCACUCCAGGGUCUCUUCUUUGCUCAGAGUUGAACAUUCUUUGGGUCACCCUGACAGCAAAGAGGAGCUAUGCAUUGUGGGUCUCCUCUGAGCUGCUCAAUAAAACUCCUCAUUGCCUUGCUCACCCUCCACUUGUCUGCGUACUUCAUUCUUCCUGGGUGCAGGACAAGAACUCCGGCACUGCCUACUGGCAGGGUUAAGAGAAAUGAGACACAAACAGGGCUGAAACAUGCCCCUUGCUUGCCACGUUGUGGGUGACAAGAAGGAGAGAAGAGAGAAGGAAAGAAGAGCUGCAGCCCUACAGGGAGCUCAGACCUGGGAAAUCCCCAAGCCAGUGCUUCCGGAAUUGGUGGGUUCUUGGUCUCACUGACCUCAAGAAUGAAACCGCAGACCCUCGCGGAAUUUGGACAGAUGGAGCAAUCUUUCUCUGCUCUGUGAUGUGACUCAACAACAUGGAACUCAAAUAGUCUGGAGACAUCUUCAAUCUCAUAUCUGAAACUUGAUGUGUGCUGGCAGUUGGAACCUCAGCUAAAUUGCCAUCCCUAGCAACCACACCUAGCCAUUUCAUGUGGCCUUUCUGCAUGGACUAUUUUAAUUUUCCUCUCAGAAUGGUUGCUGGAUUCAAAGAAAAAUCAUCCUAAGGAAAAUGAAGUGGAACUUCAUGACUUUUUCAUGACACAAUCUCAGAAUUCAAAUGCAUCAUUUUUGCCAUAUAGUAUUGGCCAAAGCGCUCAGAAAAGCCCACAAGGUCAAGAAAGGGCCAAAGGGAUCCUCUUGAUAGGGACGUUGCAAGGUUCUAGAAGAGCUGUGGAACAAAUAAUGGAUAUUGUUUCAACAUCUUUGGAACAUAUAAUAUGUCCCAGAUAAUUAGAAGAAUGUACAUCAUACAAUUGUAUUCAAAUUAUUGUAAAAAAUUAAAUUCACCAGAUUCAUAUUUCAAUUUCUAGUAAAAUUUAAUUUAUUUGUGCUUGGAAAUCAUUAUUACUCCAUGAGUAAGGGAGACUCAGAAUAGAGUUAAGAGCUCACUCUGAUAAAGCAAAUGUGACUAAAAAUUUUGGAAGUGCCAUAUAUAUAGAUGAAUAUAUAUUCAUCUAUUAAUUGAUGAACAUUAAAAUAAAUGUAGAAUGGAUAUUAACCCAGAACAAAGAGGAUAAUAAACUCCUUCUCCUUCCCUUGUUUUGUCUUUUCUGGGUUUUGAAGAGAUUAAGGCAAUUAGAAGUUCUGUUGUAGGAGGUGACUACAUAAAGUUUGUUCUAGAUAAUUAUAAGGUAGCAAAUAAAUACGUAUAAUGACAUGUAUUCUCUACAUUUCCUUACAAAUUGCUCAGCUCAAAUCAAUACUCUAGUAAGGUAGGCAGUCAUUGAUUGCAUUUGUCCAGAUCAGAGUAAUACAUAAUGGUUAAAAAAAAAAACACACAAGAAAUUCUAAUAAUAUUUAAGCAUUGUGUGUAAACAUCUCUUAAUAUUGUAAUUAUUUAUUGGCAGGCCACGUUACGUUAUAGUCAUACUAUAGAGGUUUUGGUUAGCAUUCUAAACAUUGCUAUUUAUACUUUGAGUCAAAAGAAAUUGUUGAACUUGUCAGCUUUUUUUGCAUCAACAAUACAAUACAGCUUGACAGAUUCUUGGUAAAAAUGAGACUUCUUGAGGGUGGGUUGCAAAUGACCUAGUAGAUCAAAAUAGAAGAAGCAAAAAUGAUGAUUUUAUAAAGGACCUAUUUUUAUUGUGAAAUAAUUUAUGCACUUUAUUCUUGGUUUCUUUUAAUUCCCUUUAAUAAAAUAUGAUAAUAUCUACCCUCUUUAAUGCAUAUAUAUUUAGAAAUUUAAACUCUCACUAAUGGAGAUAUGCAAACUCUCACCAGUAUAAAUUGUUUAGGACUUACAUCCGUUACAAUUUAUCUGUAGGUUGGUUAAGAUUGAUUUGUGACUCUAUUGCUCUAAUUAAACAUUUUGAAUAUCAUCAUAUCUCAUUAUAGAUUUGUAUGACUGUUCUAUAUCUAUUUAUAUCUAUACCUAUACCUAUAUCUAUAUCUAUAUAACUACAAAGCUAUAUACACACACACACACAUAUGUGUGUGUAUAUGUUUUAAAUUAGAGACAGGGUCUCACACUGUUGCCCAGGCUGAACUGCAGUGGCAUGAUCAUAGUUCACUGUAACCUUCAACUACUAGGUGUAAGUAAUCCUCCUGCCUCAGCCUCCUGAGUAGGGUCUACAGGCAUGGGUACUACUGGCAAUGUCUACAGGCAUGCACCUCUGUGCCCAGUUGAUUUUUUUUUAAUUGUAGUUAUGGUGUCUCACGCUGUUGCCCAGGCUGGUCUUGAACUCCUGACCUCAAGUUAUCCUCCCACCUCAGCCUCCCAAAGUGCUGGGAUUACAAGCAUGAGCUACCACAGCUGAGCAGAUAUAUGUUAUUUAUAUUUAUAAAGUAUCCACUACUCGGAUCCAAAUGUAGCUCACUAUUACUUCCACCAUCUGUCAAAAUACUUGAAGAAAGAAGUCAAAGAUACACUCUCAAUGUAUGUGUUAUUCCAUAUGAAAAAGUCUCCUCUAUUUAGAAAAAAAAUUUCUCACAUUUUUUAUUCCCACAGUAACUUUCAAAAUAUAUACAUAUAUAUUU